CAGAGGGAUCACUCAGUUGGCAGAGCAUGAGACUCUUAAUCUCAGGGUUGUGGGUUUGAGCCCCAUGUUGGGUGAAAGA
This is a non-coding RNA of Podarcis lilfordi (Lilford's wall lizard), 79 nucleotides long. NCBI's taxonomy places the organism in Eukaryota, Metazoa, Chordata, Lepidosauria, Squamata, Lacertidae. The record is from the annotation of a GenBank genome assembly.